RNAcentral lists this ribosomal RNA (253 nucleotides) under uncultured bacterium. RNAcentral describes it as "partial 16S ribosomal RNA". It matches the Rfam family "Bacterial small subunit ribosomal RNA", at positions 524 to 776 of the family's 1533-position model. The record is from RNAcentral.
UACAGAGGGGGCAAGCGUUGUUCGGAAUUACUGGGCGUAAAGGGCGCGUAGGCGGCCGCCUAAGUCAGACGUGAAAUCCCUCGGCUUAACCGGGGAACUGCGUCCGAUACUGGAUGGCUAGAGUUCGGGAGAGGGAUGCGGAAUUCCAGGUGUAGCGGUGAAAUGCGUAGAUAUCUGGAGGAACACCGGUGGCGAAGGCGGCAUCCUGGACCAACACUGACACUGAGGAGCGAAAGCCAGGGGAGCAAACGGG